This 359-nucleotide ribosomal RNA is filed under the name Rhodococcus opacus. RNAcentral's name for it is "bacterial SSU rRNA". It matches the Rfam family "Bacterial small subunit ribosomal RNA", at positions 81 to 441 of the family's 1533-position model. The record is from RNAcentral. Lineage: Bacteria; Bacillati; Actinomycetota; Actinomycetes; Mycobacteriales; Nocardiaceae.
UUCGGGGUACACGAGCGGCGAACGGGUGAGUAACACGUGGGUGAUCUGCCCUGCACUUCGGGAUAAGCCUGGGAAACUGGGUCUAAUACCGGAUAUGACCUUCGGCUGCAUGGCCGAGGGUGGAAAGGUUUACUGGUGCAGGAUGGGCCCGCGGCCUAUCAGCUUGUUGGUGGGGUAAUGGCCUACCAAGGCGACGACGGGUAGCCGACCUGAGAGGGUGACCGGCCACACUGGGACUGAGACACGGCCCAGACUCCUACGGGAGGCAGCAGUGGGGAAUAUUGCACAAUGGGCGAAAGCCUGAUGCAGCGACGCCGCGUGAGGGAUGACGGCCUUCGGGUUGUAAACCUCUUUCAGCA